RNAcentral lists this ribosomal RNA (464 nucleotides) under Vreelandella stevensii. Its description in RNAcentral is "partial 16S ribosomal RNA". It matches the Rfam family "Bacterial small subunit ribosomal RNA", at positions 338 to 795 of the family's 1533-position model. Lineage: Bacteria; Pseudomonadati; Pseudomonadota; Gammaproteobacteria; Oceanospirillales; Halomonadaceae. The record is from RNAcentral.
CCUACGGGGGGAGCAGUGGGGAAUAUUGGACAAUGGGCGAAAGCCUGAUCCAGCCAUGCCGCGUGUGUGAAGAAGGCCUUCGGGUUGUAAAGCACUUUCAGUGGGGAAGAAAGCCUUGGGGCUAAUACCCUCGAGGAAGGACAUCACCCACAGAAGAAGCACCGGCUAACUCCGUGCCAGCAGCCGCGGUAAUACGGAGGGUGCGAGCGUUAAUCGGAAUUACUGGGCGUAAAGCGCGCGUAGGCGGUCUGAUAAGCCGGUUGUGAAAGCCCCGGGCUCAACCUGGGAACGGCAUCCGGAACUGUCAGGCUAGAGUGCAGGAGAGGAAGGUAGAAUUCCCGGUGUAGCGGUGAAAUGCGUAGAGAUCGGGAGGAAUACCAGUGGCGAAGGCGGCCUUCUGGACUGACACUGACGCUGAGGUGCGAAAGCGUGGGUAGCAAACAGGAUUAGAUACCCGUGUAGUC